This 551-nucleotide ribosomal RNA is filed under the name uncultured bacterium. RNAcentral describes it as "bacterial SSU rRNA". It matches the Rfam family "Bacterial small subunit ribosomal RNA", at positions 355 to 896 of the family's 1533-position model. The record is from RNAcentral.
UAGGGAAUCUUCCGCAAUGGGCGAAAGCCUGACGGAGCAACGCCGCGUGAGUGAUGAAGGUCUUCGGAUCGUAAAACUCUGUUAUUAGGGAAGAACAUAUGUGUAAGUAACUGUGCACAUCUUGACGGUACCUAAUCAGAAAGCCACGGCUAACUACGUGCCAGCAGCCGCGGUAAUACGUAGGUGGCAAGCGUUAUCCGGAAUUAUUGGGCGUAAAGCGCGCGUAGGCGGUUUUUUAAGUCUGAUGUGAAAGCCCACGGCUCAACCGUGGAGGGUCAUUGGAAACUGGAAAACUUGAGUGCAGAAGAGAGGAAGUGGAAUUCCAUGUGUAGCGGUGAUGUGCGCAGAGAUAUGGAGGAACACCAGUGGCGAAGGCGACUUUCUGGUCUGUAACUGACGCUGAUGUGCGAAAGCGUGGGGAUCAAACAGGAUUAGAUACCCUGGUAGUCCACGCCGUAAACGAUGAGUGCUAAGUGUUAGGGGGUUUCCGCCCCUUAGUGCUGCAGCUAACGCAUUAAGCACUCCGCCUGGGGAGUACGACCGCAAGGUUG